This 300-nucleotide small nuclear RNA is filed under the name Mustela putorius furo (domestic ferret). RNAcentral's name for it is "7SK RNA (ENSMPUG00000022591.1)". It matches the Rfam family "7SK RNA". Rfam says of the family: 7SK was discovered as an abundant small nuclear RNA in the mid-70s but a possible function has only recently been suggested. Two independent studies have found that 7SK RNA binds the CDK9/cyclin T complex (known as elongation factor P-TEFb). Lineage: Eukaryota; Metazoa; Chordata; Mammalia; Carnivora; Mustelidae. The record is from Rfam by way of RNAcentral.
GGAUGUGAGAGCCAUCUGGCUGACACAUCUGUCACCCCGUUGAUCACCAGGGUUGAUCUGGCUGAUCUGGCUGGCUAGACAGGUGUCCCCUUCCUCCCUCACCACUCCCUGUGCGUCCCUCCCGAAGAGGACCACCCUGAGAGAGGAAACCAUUCUUUGGUCAAGUAUAUGAGUAGCUGUUCUCCCCUGUUAGAAUGUCCAGACAAGCUCUCAAGGGCCUUUUGUAGGGGACUUAUGGGAGUCAAGCAAGCUUCCAAGACUCUAGACACAUCCAAAUGAGGCAUGUAGCUGUCUGCCUUU